GAGAGAGAGAGAGAGAGAGAGGGCCCUCAAAGAAGAUUCUGAAUCGAAAAACGAUAACGAGAGGUUGAUGAAUUAAAUAAUAUAAAAUCUGUAUCUUCUAUGGAUCUUGAAUCCCAUGGAAGAUUUAUUAUCUAAUCUUCUUUGUUUCUUUCUACUGCUGUUGUUCUCUCAAUUGCUGGGUAAAGUUGUUUCUUUCUUUACUUUCUCUGUGUCUUUGUGCACCUUUACUUCUCCUAGAGGCAUUGACUUCCAC
Molecule: unclassified non-coding RNA, 253 nt
Filed under: Hevea brasiliensis (rubber tree)
Lineage: Eukaryota; Viridiplantae; Streptophyta; Magnoliopsida; Malpighiales; Euphorbiaceae
Source: RNAcentral